RNAcentral lists this ribosomal RNA (248 nucleotides) under uncultured bacterium. Its description in RNAcentral is "partial 16S ribosomal RNA". It matches the Rfam family "Bacterial small subunit ribosomal RNA", at positions 113 to 354 of the family's 1533-position model. The record is from RNAcentral.
CAACGUAGGGAACCUGCCCAUGCGGCCGGGACAACUUCCGGAAACGGAUGCUGAUACCGGAUAAGGAAAGCGAAGGCAUCUUUGCUUUGUUAAAGGAGCUGCAAGGCUCCGCGCAUGGAUGGACCUGCGGUGCAUUAGCCGGUUGGUGAGGUAAAGGCUCACCAAGGCGACGAUGCAUAGCCGGCCUGAGAGGGCGAACGGCCACACUGGGACUGAGACACGGCCCAGACUCCUACGGGAGGCAGCAG